Molecule: transfer RNA, 66 nt
Filed under: Catomerus polymerus
Lineage: Eukaryota; Metazoa; Arthropoda; Thecostraca; Balanomorpha; Catophragmidae
Description: tRNA-Phe
Source: RNAcentral
AUCAGAAUAGCUCAAUAAAAGAGUGUUGUGUUGAAGCCGCAAAGGUGACUUGUUAGUCUUUUGAUA